This is a long non-coding RNA of Ostrinia furnacalis (Asian corn borer), 426 nucleotides long. RefSeq lists it as uncharacterized. The transcript is spliced from 2 exons. NCBI's taxonomy places the organism in Eukaryota, Metazoa, Arthropoda, Insecta, Lepidoptera, Crambidae. The record is from RefSeq and is a predicted model, not a curated record.
CAGAGUGAAGCUCCUAAACAAAACCUUAGAAACGCCACCAUGUCAGCAUCCCAGGAUAAUUCUAUAGAAUUAUCGAAGGAACGUAUUUGUGGCGUUGGGGUGAUUGCCGAUGGUGCUGCCCGUGUUCUGCCGUACCAGCCGUGCCUGUUCGGCGCUGAAUGCCCGCGUCACGGCUUCCCCUACGCACAGGCGGCCCCCAACGCGAUGCCUCAGCCUCUGAGACUGACGCGAGACCCGCGGCUUCUCCGCAGACUCAACGCCUGAGCUCCAUCCAUAUAUUUUUGCAUUAUACCAGCGCCAACUGCGAGCGCGACAGCCGCCAGUCCCCUGCCCCGUGUUACGACUUAAGUAGCGUUUAUUUAUACAUAAUUAAUGUACAUAGCUUAGUUAGUUAGUAAAUUUCAUGAGAAUAUAAAAUUUAAUUGU